UCGGCGGGCAGCGAGGGGCCAGGCUGCGGAGGCAACUUUUGAAUGGCUGAAAGUUGAGCGCAACCCGCCCCGCAAGAACAGCGAUGUUGGUUUUGGGAAGGAAGCUAGACCAACAUUUCCCUGCUUCUCUCCCCCCCCCCCCCCAAUCCCCGGGACCCGGCCGGCAGAGAGAGAGAGAUCGGAGAGAAAGAAGUUGUUGCAGACUUACUGGAAACUGGCUGCUUUAAGGGGCCUCUUUAAGAAAAAUCUCCCCGUCGAAAACAACCACCGUGGGCCACUCGAACUGAAAAGAUUGCAAGGAUAAAGAUUCGUUCACCCAGCGCUGGAUAAUGAAGGGCGAAGUCCCGCGAAAAUCCGAAAGCCGCCGGUCUCGGCUUUUUAAAGCGCAAAAACCGAAAGCUCCCCAGCUUCAGAUCGGAGAGCGUUGGUUGGUCUUUUGACAAAUUGACUUUUUUCUCUCUGCUUCGCUCCUCUCCGGAUCCCUGUCGCUGUAUAUACAGGGGGUGAAAGCUCACGAUAGAGACCCUUGGAAACUGCGGAGCGGGGCUUUUCCACGCUACCAAAUACCUCCCAAAUACCCGAAAAGAUUUUUUAUUUUGGUGUGCGGUUUUCAAACGAGAUACAUUAACUGGUGGCACCCACGGCCCCUACGAAAUACCCAAAGCCUUUCUCGUCCUCCCCGCUCCGCCAAAGCUGUAUUUUCUUCCACUUCAGCAUUUAUUUUCCGAUUAAUAAAAUAAAUAAACCAAUCUAAAAUGAAGCGAUCCGGCAAGAUCCGGCGUAUUUAAAUCCGCCCGUUUCAUGCAGUUGGGUUUUUCGUUUUUUUUGUUUUGAGG
Molecule: long non-coding RNA, 836 nt
Organism: Thamnophis elegans (Western terrestrial garter snake)
Lineage: Eukaryota; Metazoa; Chordata; Lepidosauria; Squamata; Natricidae
Exons: 2
Source: RefSeq, a predicted model, not a curated record